AGUGAACGCUGGCGGUAGGCCUAACACAUGCAAGUCGAACGGCAGCACAGUAAGAGCUUGCUCUUACGGGUGGCGAGUGGCGGACGGGUGAGGAAUACAUCGGAAUCUACUUUUUCGUGGGGGAUAACGUAGGGAAACUUGCGCUAAUACCGCAUACGACCUACGGGUGAAAGCAGGGGAUCUUCGGACCUUGCGCGAUUGAAUGAGCCGAUGUCGGAUUAGCUAGUUGGCGGGGUAAAGACCCACCAAGGCGACGAUCCGUAGCUGGUCUGAGAGGAUGAUCAGCCACACUGGAACUGAGACACGGUCCAGACUCCUACGGGAGGCAGCAGUGGGGAAUAUUGGACAAGGGGCGCAAGCCUGAUCCAGCCAUACCGCGUGGGUGAAGAAGGCCUUCGGGUUGUAAAGCCCUUUUGUUGGGAAAGAAAAGCAGCAGGUUAAUACCCCGCUGUUCUGACGGUACCCAAAGAAUAAGCACCGGCUAACUUCGUG
Molecule: ribosomal RNA, 492 nt
Filed under: uncultured bacterium
Lineage: Bacteria
Description: partial 16S ribosomal RNA
Rfam family: Bacterial small subunit ribosomal RNA
Source: RNAcentral